This 789-nucleotide long non-coding RNA is filed under the name Varroa destructor (honeybee mite). RNAcentral's name for it is "uncharacterized LOC111247114, transcript variant X2". The record is from RNAcentral. Lineage: Eukaryota; Metazoa; Arthropoda; Arachnida; Mesostigmata; Varroidae.
GUACAGUGAAACGCAGAUCAGUCAAAAAAAUUUACCCGCAACGAGCAUUUUCCUUUCGAUAAUCUCUAAGUUAUAGCCAACUCCAUUAUAGUUAUAGCCAUUGCUUGAUUUCGCGAGGCGGUAGUUAGGUGUCUAUAUGAAUGCGCAGAGGUACCAAUACAGUGUUGAAACAAAUGCAGUCGGAGAAAGAUAAGACAAAUAGAAGCUAAUCCAGCUUCAUAUAACCUUAUCAUAGGACAACGGCGCUGCAUUAGGGUUUCUCUCGUGCCGCCGGGCACUAGUUAUACGUCUGUUUCGUUCACGCACAUGAUCAAAGUCGCAAACAAAGGAUAUGUACAUAUACAUAUAAGCUGAUGCACAAAAACGUCGGGGAUUCGUUGUGGAUGUUUUAAAGUAGUCUGAAUCGCUCCUAAUUCUUCUCGUUUGUGUGCGUUGAACGGGAGCUUCAAUGCAGCAGCUUUCGGUACGCAUUGAGGAUAUAUGAGAUCAUGAGGACUUAUAGUAUCCUCAUCGGCUAGAACUGUCUUCCUGCCUAGCUCGAAAAUAUACGCCGACCGAUGCCGAAAAUGAACGACCGAAUGAUGUGGUCCACACUUCUUCAUAUACGAGAGGAACACCUGCCUGUUUCACGUAAGCCGAGUAUUGAGGUCGACCUUGGCAACCGGUUUCCACUAGCCGAGAUCACUAGCCGAUAUUUGUCAUCCACUCUCGUACCCUUCACCCCGAACCCCUGAACGGUUAUUUAUAAAUACUUUUCUUGUUGCAAUAAAAAUAACUUGGACUUGAUUU